RNAcentral lists this ribosomal RNA (497 nucleotides) under uncultured bacterium. RNAcentral describes it as "partial 16S ribosomal RNA". It matches the Rfam family "Bacterial small subunit ribosomal RNA", at positions 28 to 507 of the family's 1533-position model. The record is from RNAcentral.
GAUGAACGCUGGCGGCGUGCCUAAUACAUGCAAGUCGAGCGAACAGACGAGGAGCUUGCUCCUCUGACGUUAGCGGCGGACGGGUGAGUAACACGUGGAUAACCUACCUAUAAGACUGGGAUAACUUCGGGAAACCGGAGCUAAUACCGGAUAAUAUAUUGAACCGCAUGGUUCAAUAGUGAAAGACGGUUUUGCUGUCACUUAUAGAUGGAUCCGCGCCGCAUUAGCUAGUUGGUAAGGUAACGGCUUACCAAGGCAACGAGGCGUAGCCGACCUGAGAGGGUGAUCGGCCACACUGGAACUGAGACACGGUCCAGACUCCUACGGGAGGAAGCAGUAGGGAAUCGUCCGCAAUGGGCGAAAGCCUGACGGAGCAACGCCGCGGGAGUGAUGAAGGUCUUCGGAUCGUAAAACUCUGUUAUUAGGGAAGAACAAAUGUGUAAGUAACUAUGCACGUCUUGACGGUACCUAAUCAGAAAGCCACGGCUAACUACGUG